UAGGAUAUGGUGUAAUAUGGUAGCACGAAGAUCUUUGAAUUCUUAGGAGUAGGUUCAAGUCCUGCAAUUCUAG
RNAcentral lists this transfer RNA (73 nucleotides) under Talpa occidentalis (Iberian mole). Its description in RNAcentral is "tRNA-Gln". It matches the Rfam family "tRNA". From Rfam's summary of the family: Transfer RNA (tRNA) molecules are approximately 80 nucleotides in length. Their secondary structure includes four short double-helical elements and three loops (D, anti-codon, and T loops). Lineage: Eukaryota; Metazoa; Chordata; Mammalia; Eulipotyphla; Talpidae. The record is from RNAcentral.